This 253-nucleotide ribosomal RNA is filed under the name uncultured bacterium. RNAcentral's name for it is "partial 16S ribosomal RNA". It matches the Rfam family "Bacterial small subunit ribosomal RNA", at positions 524 to 776 of the family's 1533-position model. The record is from RNAcentral.
UACAGAGACUGCAAGCGUUAUUCGGAUUCACUGGGCGUAAAGGGUGCGUAGGCGGCCAUGUGUGUGAGGGGUGAAAGCCUGGAGCUUAACUCCAGAAUUGCGCCUCAAACUACAUGGCUAGAGCAUUGGAGAGGGUAGCAGAAUUCAUGGUGUAGCAGUGAAAUGCGUAGAUAUCAUGAGGAAUACCAGAGGCGAAGGCGGCUACCUGGACAAUUGCUGACGCUCAGGCACGAAAGCGUGGGGAGCAAACGGG